CAUGAGAGUUUCUUCUUUGUUUCCUCACCUUUGCACGCCAUGGAUCUGUAGAUUAUGAGUUUAAGGUUUCACCAAGUUUCAAAAUAAUGAGUUUCUUCAAGAUGGUCUCUUCUUUGCGAGUUUUCAUAAAUGAGAGAUAGAUCGGAAGAAGCAACAGAGACCGAGAUCUCAUGCCGGACCAGUUGAAGAUCAACGGUUUUGUGAGAUCUUCAGACAUGAGUACUACCCAGCGAAGUGUUUCGCAUUCUCUUGCCGCUGCAAUUCCUGAAUCACCAGCCUUUUGACUUUAGCUCCCAAGUAUGUGUAUUUGGGUUUUCACUAUUAUUCAAAGGAUUUUGAUUUGUGUGAUAGGAAUUUCUUAUCUGUUGUAAUUGACUAAGAUCGAUUUAGCAAGGGCCAAGGAGGAAGAAAGAAUAGGGUUAUUGGAAACUUAAAGAGGCCUGAUCAACUCCGAGAUCAACUGUUUGUAGAUCCUCUACAUCAAGGAAGCUGGGCAUCAGAUUAUCCAAGAGAAUAUGAUGGUGGUUGCCUUCGGAUGAGGUUAUCACACAACCCAUGUGCUCACUUCUUUCUCUUUUUUGUUUAAUGGAGUGAUUGUAAUCUUGCUGGUGCCCUUGGCUUACUCAG
This 627-nucleotide long non-coding RNA is filed under the name Helianthus annuus (common sunflower). RNAcentral's name for it is "sRNA HanXRQr2_Chr11g0502031". The record is from RNAcentral. Lineage: Eukaryota; Viridiplantae; Streptophyta; Magnoliopsida; Asterales; Asteraceae.